AAAACUUUAAGUUAAAUAAACUAAUAAUCUUCAAAAUUAUUUAUAAAGUAAAUCUUUAAGUUUUA
Molecule: transfer RNA, 65 nt
Filed under: Pseudoneureclipsis achim
Lineage: Eukaryota; Metazoa; Arthropoda; Insecta; Trichoptera; Polycentropodidae
Also listed under: 1 other name
Description: tRNA-Trp
Source: RNAcentral